Molecule: ribosomal RNA, 576 nt
Filed under: uncultured crenarchaeote
Lineage: Archaea; Thermoproteati; Thermoproteota
Description: bacterial SSU rRNA
Rfam family: Archaeal small subunit ribosomal RNA
Source: RNAcentral
CCUGGCCGUAAACGAUGCAUACUAGGCAAUGCUCCGGCUAUGAGCCGCAUCAGUACCGUAGGGAAACCGUUAAGUGUGCCGCCUGGGAAGUACGGUCGCAAGGCUAAAACUUAAAGGAAUUGGCGGGGGAGCACCACAAGGGGUGAAGCCUGCGAUUCAAUUGGACUCAACGCCGGGAAACUUACCAGGGGUGACAGCAGAAUGACAGUCAGGUUGACGACCUUACUCGACGAGCUGAGAGGAGGUGCACGGCCGUCGCCAGUUCGUGCUGUGAGGUAUCCUGUUAAGUCAGGCAACGAACGAGAUCCGCGCCUUUAUUUGCCAUCAAGAAGUCACGACUUUAUUGGGAACACUAAAGGGACCGCCGUCGAUAAGACGGAGGAAGGAGCGGGCAAAGGCAGGUCAGUAUGCCCCGAAACCCCUGGGCUACACGCGGGCUGCAAUGGUGCGAACAAUGGGCUGUAACUCCGAAAGGAGAAACCAAUCCCGAAAUCGCAUCUCAGUGGGGAUUGUCGACUGUAACUCGUUGACAUGAACGUGGAAUCCCUAGUAAUCGCGUGUCACCAUCGCGCGGUG